CCUACGGGAGGCAGCAGUGGGGAAUAUUGGACAAUGGGGGCAACCCUGAUCCAGCCAUGCCGCGUGUGUCAAGAAGGCCCUCGGGUUGUAAAGCACUUUCAGUGAGGAAGAACGCCUGGUGGUUAAUACCCAUCAGGAAAGACAUCACUCACAGAAGAAGCACCGGCUAACUCCGUGCCAGCAGCCGCGGUAAUACGGAGGGUGCGAGCGUUAAUCGGAAUUACUGGGCGUAAAGCGCGCGUAGGUGGCUUGAUAAGCCGGUUGUGAAAGCCCCGGGCUCAACCUGAGAACGGCAUCCGGAACUGUCAAGCUAGAGUGCAGGAGAGGAAGGUAGAAUUCCCGGUGUAGCGGUGAAAUGCGUAGAGAUCGGGAGGAAUACCAGUGGCGAAGGCGGCCUUCUGGACUGACACUGACACUGAGGUGCGAAAGCGUGGGUAGCAAACAGGAUUAGAUACCCUGGUAGUC
RNAcentral lists this ribosomal RNA (465 nucleotides) under Vreelandella stevensii. Its description in RNAcentral is "partial 16S ribosomal RNA". It matches the Rfam family "Bacterial small subunit ribosomal RNA", at positions 338 to 795 of the family's 1533-position model. Lineage: Bacteria; Pseudomonadati; Pseudomonadota; Gammaproteobacteria; Oceanospirillales; Halomonadaceae. The record is from RNAcentral.